GCAUCGAUGAAGAACGCAGCGAAAUGCGAUACGUAAUGUGAAUUGCAGAAUUCAGUGAAUCAUCGAAUCUUUGAACGCAUCUUGCACUCUCUGGUAUUCCGGAGAGUAUGUCUGUUGGAGUGUCAUGAAUUCUUCAACCCCACCGUUUCUUGCAAACGCGUGGGUGCUUGGAUUCUGAGCGCUGCUGGCUUCGGCCUAGCUCGUUCGUAAUGCAUUAGCAUCCCGAUGACAAGUUUGGAUUGACUUGGCGUAAUAGACUAUUCGCUGAGGAGUAAGUGGCCUUCGGGUUACUGAGCCAACUCGUUUCAGGAAGCUUCUAAUCCCUAAAGUCUACCUUUUAGAUUAGAUCUCCAAUCAGGCAGGAUUACCCGCUGAACUUAAGCAUAUCAAUAAGCGGAGGA
RNAcentral lists this ribosomal RNA (401 nucleotides) under Sporobolomyces salmonicolor. Its description in RNAcentral is "eukaryotic LSU rRNA". The stretch from base 1 to 125 matches the Rfam family "5.8S ribosomal RNA", at positions 30 to 154 of the family's 154-position model. The record is from RNAcentral. Lineage: Eukaryota; Fungi; Basidiomycota; Microbotryomycetes; Sporidiobolales; Sporidiobolaceae.